CUUACUCUACAAUGUAGUAACAUAAUAUAUAAUAUAACAAUAUGAUGAUGAUAUUAUAUAAUAUUUUAUAUAUUAAAAUACUAUAUUAUAUUUUAUUUUUAUGCAAAAUGGGAUGAUUAUGUGUAUCUUAUAACAACAUAAUAUACCUUAUAUACUUCGCAAAGAUAUUUUUGAUAAAAAUUUUAAAAUAAAAUAUAAUAAGAUUAUAAAUUCUUAUUGUUACAUAAUGUUCAAAUCCACAAC
RNAcentral lists this long non-coding RNA (243 nucleotides) under Elaeis guineensis (African oil palm). RNAcentral's name for it is "long non-coding RNA (EGUI_LNC007272)". The record is from RNAcentral. Lineage: Eukaryota; Viridiplantae; Streptophyta; Magnoliopsida; Arecales; Arecaceae.